RNAcentral lists this long non-coding RNA (312 nucleotides) under Monodelphis domestica (gray short-tailed opossum). RNAcentral describes it as "lncRNA (ENSMODG00000044039.1)". Lineage: Eukaryota; Metazoa; Chordata; Mammalia; Didelphimorphia; Didelphidae. The record is from RNAcentral.
AAAAGGCCAAUAUGCAAUAGUCAACUCUGUAACUCCUGUCAGAAGCAUGGCUGGAAGAAAUAGAAGCAGCUCAAGGAAUUCUUUCUUCUGAGAGGAGAAUGGAGAGUAGCAAAGAGACUACGGCUCCACAGUGAGUGGAAACCACCUCUCCAAAGAAAGAGUUAAAGAGAGGUUGGACAGCCUCUAACCAGUGGUCCUUCAGCUAAUUUCCUCCGGUGGCAAGCAUCCAGAGAAAAAUAUCAAAUUCCUAUUUAUUGACUGCCUAUAUCCAUUGUCUGACUAAGAACUACUGCUGUAUCCAGAAUUGUGAAA